This 301-nucleotide ribosomal RNA is filed under the name uncultured bacterium. RNAcentral describes it as "partial 16S ribosomal RNA". It matches the Rfam family "Bacterial small subunit ribosomal RNA", at positions 509 to 807 of the family's 1533-position model. The record is from RNAcentral.
CAGCAGCCACGGUAAUACAGAGGAUGCAAGCGUUAUCCGGAAUGAUUGGGCGUAAAGCGUGCGUAGGUGGUUCGUUAAGUCUGAUGUGAAAGCCCUGGGCUCAACCUGGGAAUUGCAUUGGAUACUGGCGAGCUAGAGUGCGGUAGAGGGUAGUGGAAUUCCCGGUGUAGCAGUGAAAUGCGUAGAGAUGUGGAGGAAUACCGAUGGCGAAGGCAGCCCCCUGGGCCAAUACUGACGCUCAUGCACGAAAGCGUGGGGAGCAAACAGGAUUAGAUACCCGGGUAGUCCCUGUCUCUUAUAC